UACGGAGGGUGCAAGCGUUAUCCGGAUUUACUGGGUUUAAAGGGUGUGUAGGCGGGCUGUUAAGUCAGUGGUGAAAUCUCCGGGCUCAACCCGGAAACUGCCAUUGAUACUAAUAGUCUUGAAUUCUGUUGAGGCUGGCGGAAUAUGUCAUGUAGCGGUGAAAUGCAUAGAUAUGACAUAGAACACCGAUUGCGAAGGCAGCUAACUAAGCAGAUAUUGACGCUGAGGCACGAAAGCGUGGGGAUCAAACAGG
Molecule: ribosomal RNA, 253 nt
Filed under: uncultured bacterium
Lineage: Bacteria
Description: partial 16S ribosomal RNA
Rfam family: Bacterial small subunit ribosomal RNA
Source: RNAcentral